This 497-nucleotide ribosomal RNA is filed under the name uncultured bacterium. RNAcentral's name for it is "partial 16S ribosomal RNA". It matches the Rfam family "Bacterial small subunit ribosomal RNA", at positions 28 to 507 of the family's 1533-position model. The record is from RNAcentral.
GAUGAACGCUGGCGGCGUGCCUAAUACAUGCAAGUCGAGCGAACGGACGAGAAGCUUGCUUCUCUGAUGUUAGCGGCUGACGUGUGAGUAACACGUGGAUAACCUACCUAUAAGACUGGGAUAACUUCGGGAAACCGGAGCUAAUACCGGAUAAUAUUUUGAACCGCAUGGUUCAAAAGUGAAUGACGGUCUUGCUGUCACUUAUAGAUGGAUCCGCGCUGCAUUAGCUAGUUGGUAAGGUAACGGCUUACCAAGGCAACGAUGCAUAGCCGACCUGAGAGGGUGAUCGGCCACACUGGAACUGAGACACGGUCCAGACUCCUACGGGAGGCAGCAGUAGGGAAUCUUCCGCAAUGGGCGAAAGCCUGACGGAGCAACGCCGCGUGAGUGAUGAAGGUCUUCGGAUCGUAAAACUCUGUUAUUAGGGAAGAACAUAUGUGUAAGUAACUGUGCACAUCUUGACGGUACCUAAUCAGAAAGCCACGGCUAACUACGUG